GAACGCACAUUGCACUCCUUGGUAUUCCGAGGAGUAUGCCUGUUUCAGUAUCAUGAGCACUCUCACAUCUAACCUUUGGGUUAAAAUGUGGAAUUGGGAUGCGCCGGUUAUCAUAACGGCCCUCCUAAAAUUCAGUUCUUGGCUGCUUCCUACUACAGCAGUUUGGCCUAAUAGUUUUGAGUCUCCGAUUCAAAUCUUUGGCUAACAUUUGCUUCAGGAUGUCAGUCUUGAUAUACAGAAAUCUCAUUCAAACUUUGAUCUGAAAUCAGGUAGGGCUACCCGCUGAACUUA
RNAcentral lists this unclassified non-coding RNA (291 nucleotides) under uncultured Umbelopsis. RNAcentral describes it as "sequence contains 5.8S rRNA gene". The stretch from base 1 to 53 matches the Rfam family "5.8S ribosomal RNA", at positions 102 to 154 of the family's 154-position model. The record is from RNAcentral. Lineage: Eukaryota; Fungi; Mucoromycota; Umbelopsidomycetes; Umbelopsidales; Umbelopsidaceae.